AGCCAAUAGUCUUGCGGCUUAUGAUUAUAAUUCUUGUAAUUUUUUACGAAGUUUUUAUGGGUUGAAAUAUUGCCAAAUUUAUUUAGUCAAGAUCCCAUUUUUCCCUGUUGAUAAAUUUGGGGUUAAUGAAUUUGAGAAGCAGGUUUUAGUAUCGUUUUGAUUUUGAAUUUUUUUAAAAAUCAAAUUGAACAAUUCCAAUUCUUUGUUGAGGAAAUUUGCCAACAGUCUUGCGCCUUACGGUUUAAAUUAGUUUAUAAUUCUUUUGAUUUGUUUUGAAGGUUUUAUGGGAUUUAAGAGUCGCAUAAUUUAUUUAUUCAGGAGCCCUUUUCCUGUUUCACAAACUAUUUUAUUUUUCAUAAGUUUGAGACUUGCAUUUUAGUGCCGUUUCAAUUUUGAAUUUUUUGGUUAAAUUGACACUAUCUUUGAGCUGCAAUUCACAUCAAUCUGUCAAUUUUUUCUAUAUCUGAAUACAUUUUAAGGAGUAGGAUUUGUCAACUAAUUUUUGGGUACUGGGGUAUUAUGGGGAAUGGGUUGGUUAGUUUAGGGGAAUGGUUAGGCCAAGGUUUUGAGAAGAGUUAUUUGAAGAAGUAUGGGAAGAAAGAGCGUUGGUCUACAAUUUUGAGUCUUUGGCGUUCUUGCAGGGUUCUCUUUUUUCAUCUUCUCUAUUGAUCCUGCUUAAGUUUUACAGCUAUAGAUUUAUACCUUUAUUUUUUAUAGACUUGAUGCAAGAAGAUGUGAUGUGAAUGAUACUGCAUGAUUGAUGAUUCAGGUUCUUGAUUUAGGAUUUAUUGUUAGAUGUGAAAGUUUUUAUAAAUUGAUUUGUGGGGAAUAUCUUGAUGGGUUCUUGGUUAUUUGGUGAAAUAAGUGUUAAUUAUCUGUUUAUUUAUGUACUUCUAAAGCAAGUUGGUUGAAUUGAUGGAUGUAGUUGUGUACUAUUUUUUUGUUGAGUAAAUGUUCCAAAAAAAAAAAAUAAUCGUUCUUCCAGUUUACUUCUUAUCUGUUCGUGUAGAAUAUUUGCAUUUCCUUUAAUGAGUCUACAUUUUCUCUUUACAGGUAAUUUGCCUGAAGUUUAAUUUACCCUUUUUAUUUCUACGUGUAGUAUUCUAUUUUCAAGCUGGUGGAAUCAACGAACUUAAUUGUGCAUUUUUUCUUCGGGAAGUUAUGCAUGACAGUGUAAAAUAUAUUCUUUUGGGACCUGGAAUUUUGAAGAGAUUAUCACCUCUGUAUUCUACAGGUGUCACAGUUUGGAUUACGUGGAUGAACAACAUUGACAUAGAUAUGAUGUUAAUUAAUAUUACUUAACAGAGUCACUAUUUGAUAGAUGUUUUCUUAUCUCAAACGCUACAUACUUAUUCAUCAAUUCUUGCAGAUGAACCCAGAGAUGAUUAGCAUUUUGGAAUAAUCUGGCUUGAAAUUUGUCGGGAAGUAUGAAAGUGGGAAGCUAAUGGAGUUACAUCUUGAGGUCUCAUGAUGCUGAAUUCUUCCUCUUUGCAUCUAAUCAUUCCUAUUUCUGCAAAUUUUGAAGCUUCCGGGCCGUCUUUUUAGGUAGGGGUGCAUUUUCAUCCAGAAUUCAAGUUUGUCUUGGGAGAUCCUCAACUCUUUUUCUAGGAAGAACUCCAGUUUGCACUAUGCAGAGCUCCUUAAUUCAAAAAAUGAAAUGUACAGGGUUAGAGUUGAAUAAGUUUGAUCAACGUCAGAAAUUCGUGGGCCUUCCGACGAGUGAUGAGUUGCAGAAACAAGAUAUUCCAAAGAAGUUUAUGGCUGAGCACCUGAAAUGGACUUCUUGAGGGCAAACUUUAAUUAACCAGGAUGAUAAUGCUUAUUGGAUCCUUGCUAUCUUUAUAGGAUGUGUUCCAUUUUUGAAGAUAUUAAUCUUCACAUCAGAUGCUCCGCGCUAUUUUUUCAUUGAUAGAUGCUUGAUUCUAGGGUAUGUUCAGUUCCUUCCCAGAAUGAGUUAUAUUUAAUUUGCUUUGUGUUUUUAUGGUUCUCCAAUUGCGUAUCACAAUGCACUUUUGAGCUUCAUUUGGAUUAGGUAUGCAAUAGUAGACAUGAUUGGAACAAUUCUGUAAAUUAGAUUUUAGCCUUUUCUUCUAUAAUAAUGAUCCAUGGUGUCCAAUCUGUACUACCAUAUAUGUACUAGCAUAUAGCAUUGCUGUUCCCAUUUUUUUGUGUA
Olea europaea var. sylvestris is the source of this 2173-nucleotide long non-coding RNA. RefSeq lists it as uncharacterized. The record is from RefSeq and is a predicted model, not a curated record. The transcript has 7 exons. NCBI's taxonomy places the organism in Eukaryota, Viridiplantae, Streptophyta, Magnoliopsida, Lamiales, Oleaceae.